RNAcentral lists this ribosomal RNA (253 nucleotides) under uncultured bacterium. RNAcentral's name for it is "partial 16S ribosomal RNA". It matches the Rfam family "Bacterial small subunit ribosomal RNA", at positions 524 to 776 of the family's 1533-position model. The record is from RNAcentral.
UACGUAGGGAGCAAGCGUUGUCCGGAAUCAUUGGGCGUAAAGCGCGCGUAGGCGGCUCGAUCAGUCUGUUGUGAAAGUCAAAGGCUCAACCUUUGAAUGCCGAUGGAUACUGUCGAGCUAGAGUCCGGAAGAGGCGAGUGGAAUUCCUGGUGUAGCGGUGGAAUGCGCAGAUAUCAGGAGGAACACCAACGGCGAAGGCAGCUCGCUGGGACGGUACUGACGCUAAGGCGCGAAAGCGUGGGGAGCAAACAGG